Small nucleolar RNA from Malania oleifera, 101 nucleotides. RefSeq annotates it as small nucleolar RNA snoR99. The transcript has a single exon. Lineage: Eukaryota; Viridiplantae; Streptophyta; Magnoliopsida; Santalales; Ximeniaceae. The record is from RefSeq and is a predicted model, not a curated record.
GUGCUAAAGAGGUUACCAUAGUCCCCUAUAAUAAUUUCCAUUCUUCAACUUUGUCAGCUGGUUUCAUUUUCUUGCAGUUGAUUUUCAUGGGUGGUACAUAC